Non-coding RNA from Cricetulus griseus (Chinese hamster), 924 nucleotides. The record is from RefSeq and is a predicted model, not a curated record. Lineage: Eukaryota; Metazoa; Chordata; Mammalia; Rodentia; Cricetidae.
AUCAAUGAGCACUUAUUAGUCACCUUUGUUCCCUUUCUGCACUUUAACACACAGAGCCCCAAAAGGAAUGAGACACUCAUUUUGCCCUCAUGAGAUCACUUGCAGCUUUCCUGCCAACAUGCCUUCCUGGUGGUUUUCACUGCAUGUGGAUUCCUGUCUCCCAAAAGAGAAGUGAUGGCCUGUCUAGAUAGGAGCCUGGGAAGCAGGGUUCAGGCCUCCUGGGACCUGUGCUUAGUGGGGAAAGGUGUUGUGGCUUAGAACCGUAUGUUUCUGUGUUGUUUUUGAAUCACCAUCACCUCCUUAUGAGGUGACAUCUGAUCACCCAGCUGCCUCAUGAUCUCAGUGUGGUCACAGUGGGACUCUGCACAUCUGGGCACUGACACCAUUUGAUCAGCACUGGAGUGCCGCGCCUUCGACAGCAGGUUCUUGGGGGCUCCAUGAUUUCCCCUGCUUGCAAGUUCCAAGAUUCCUGAUUUAAAUUACAAGCUGACUGUCAGAAAGAAGAAUUGAUGGAGAGGCGCUGGAGACAGUGAGUCAGGCUCUGGACUCAGCAGAGUCAGUCCUAAUGUCUUUGUCAUCAGUUACCAGCUACAUCAUAAACCUCCUUUGAAAUGACCGGCAAUUAAAAAGCCACAUCCUCAUCACAUUUGUGUGUACUGCCCUCAUAAAACUGCAAGUAAUGCACUUCUGCAAAUAGAUGUGGCUGGUCCCCCAAUCUCGUGUCCAUCUGGGCUGAAGCUUUCAAGUCUUUUGCUAAUGAAGAUGUGACAUGGGCCAGCUGGUUAGAAGUGGAGCCUGGAGGCAAUGGAGGCUCAGGUUGCUGAUGGCCUGAGAGAAAUGGCUUUACUCUAAUGGAAGCUGCCAUGUCAAGCCCAAAGGUUUCAGUGCCCAGGGACUCAUAAAAGAAAAAGCGACAGUGUCAAG